GGCUCAGGAUGAACGCUAGCGGCAGGCUUUAAUACAUGCAAGUCGUUGGGGCAGCAUGAGUAGCAAUACUUGAUGGCGACCGGCAAACGGGUGAGGAACACGUACACAACCUUCCUUCAAGCGGGGAAUAGCCCAGAGAAAUUUGGAUUAAUACCCCAUAAUAUAUUUGAUAAGGCAUCUUAUUAAUAUUAAAGCUUCGGCACUUGAUGAUGGGUGUGCGGCUGAUUAGAUAGUUGGCGGGGUAACGGCCCACCAAGUCUACGAUCAGUAGCUGAUGUGAGAGCAUGAUCAGCCACACGGGCACUGAGACACGGGCCCGACUCCUACGGGAGGCAGCAGUAAGGAAUAUUGGACAAUGGACGAAAGUCUGAUCCAGCCAUGCCGCGUGAAGGAUUAAGGUCCUCUGGAUUGUAAACUUCUUUUAUAUGGGACGAAAAAGGGCAUUCUUGUUCACUUGACGGUACCAUAUGAAUAAGCACCGGCUAACUCCGUG
This 493-nucleotide ribosomal RNA is filed under the name uncultured bacterium. RNAcentral's name for it is "bacterial SSU rRNA". It matches the Rfam family "Bacterial small subunit ribosomal RNA", at positions 21 to 507 of the family's 1533-position model. The record is from RNAcentral.